CCUACGGGAGGCUGCAGUGAGGAAUAUUGGUCAAUGGGCGGGAGCCUGAACCAGCCAAGUCGCGUGAGGGAAGACGGUCCUAUGGAUUGUAAACCUCUUUAGGCGGGGAGCAAUGCCGGGCACGCGUGCCCGGAGGGAGAGUACCCGCAGAAUAAGCAUCGGCUAACUCCGUGCCAGCAGCCGCGGUAAUACGGAGGAUGCGAGCGUUAUCCGGAGUUAUUGGGGUUAAAGGGUGCGGGGGCGGAUUUUUAAGUCCGCGGUAAAAUGUCCGGGGCCCAACACGGCCGGGCCGUGAAAAUGGGGAUCUUGAGUGGGCGAGAAGUAUGCGGAAUGCGUGGUGUAGCGGUGAAAUGCAUAGAUAUCACGCAGAACUCCGAUUGCGAAGGCAGCAUACCGGCGCCCGACUGACGCUGAGGCACGAAAGCGUGGGGAUCGAACAGGAUUAGAUACCCGUGUAGUC
This 460-nucleotide ribosomal RNA is filed under the name uncultured bacterium. RNAcentral describes it as "partial 16S ribosomal RNA". It matches the Rfam family "Bacterial small subunit ribosomal RNA", at positions 338 to 795 of the family's 1533-position model. The record is from RNAcentral.